Molecule: long non-coding RNA, 346 nt
Filed under: Lotus japonicus
Lineage: Eukaryota; Viridiplantae; Streptophyta; Magnoliopsida; Fabales; Fabaceae
Description: long non-coding RNA (LJAP_LNC000261)
Source: RNAcentral
UACAUUUGAGGAAGGAAGAGCUUCAGGCUAUGGUAUGGUGGCCGGCAACUAUGAAGCUGAAAUCUUGGCAUCGGCGACGGCGUAUCCAGUGGCAUCUCUAUCACCUCUCUUGGCGGAUGCAGGUUGUUUCCGAUGGACGCUUCGGUUGGCUAUUGAGUUGGGUUUUCAGAGAGUUGAGUUCCAAACUGAUUGCUUGCAGCUUUUUAACUGGUGGAAGUCUCGCAGGGAGGGUGUUUCUUUUCUAGCUACUACUGUUAGCGAAUGUCGCUUUUUAAUUUCUGGUUUUGAUGUUUUUACUUUAUCUUUUGUAAGACGUUCUGGUAACGCAGCAGCUGACUGUUUGGCU